Molecule: ribosomal RNA, 403 nt
Filed under: uncultured bacterium
Lineage: Bacteria
Description: partial 16S ribosomal RNA
Rfam family: Bacterial small subunit ribosomal RNA
Source: RNAcentral
AUUGAACGCUGGCGGCAGGCCUAACACAUGCAAGUCGAGCGAGCGGCGGACGGGUGAGUAAUGUAUGGGGACUGCCCGAUAGAGGGGGAUAACUACUGGAAACGGUAGCUAAUACCGCAUACUAUCGGAUAACCAAUAUGGGAUUAGCUAGUAGGUGAGGUAAUGGCUCACCUAGGCGACGAUCCCUAGCUGGUCUGAGAGGAUGAUCAGCCACACUGUGACUCGGACACGGCCCCUACUCCGGCGGAGGCCGCGUUGGGGAUUAUUGCCCACUGGGCGCAAGCCUGAUACAGCCAUGCCACGUGUAUGACGAAGGCCCUAGAGUUGUAUCGUACUUUCUGUCGGGAGGCGUUGCCGACAGAAGAAGCACCGGCUAAGUCCGUGCCAGCAGCCGCGGUAAUUC